CAGCAGCCGCGGGAAUACGAAGGGGGCUAGCGUUGUUCGGAAUUACUGGGCGUAAAGCGCGCGUAGGUGGUUCGCCAAGUUGGAUGUGAAAUCCCCGGGCUCAACCUGGGAACUGCAUCCAAAACUGGCGAGCUAGAGUAUGGUAGAGGGUGGUGGAAUUUCCUGUGUAGCGGUGAAAUGCGUAGAUAUAGGAAGGAACAUCAGUGGCGAAGGCGACCACCUGGACUGAUACUGACACUGAGGUGCGAAAGCGUGGGGAGCAAACAGGAUUAGAUACCCCUGUAGUCCCUGUCUCUUAUAA
RNAcentral lists this ribosomal RNA (301 nucleotides) under uncultured bacterium. RNAcentral describes it as "partial 16S ribosomal RNA". It matches the Rfam family "Bacterial small subunit ribosomal RNA", at positions 509 to 809 of the family's 1533-position model. The record is from RNAcentral.